GAACGCGAAGAACCUUACCAAGACUUAAAUGGGAAUUGACAGCUUUAGAAAUAGAGCUUUCUUCGGACAAUUUUCAAGGUGCUGCAUGGUUGUCGUCAGCUCGUGCCGUGAGGUGUUAGGUUAAGUCCUGCAACGAGCGCAACCCCUGUCACUAGUUGCCAUCAUUCAGUUGGGGACUCUAGUGAGACUGCCUACGCAAGUAGAGAGGAAGGUGGGGAUGACGUCAAAUCAUCACGGCCCUUACGUCUUGGGCCACACACGUAAUACAAUGGCCGGUACAGAGGGCAGCUACACAGCGAUGUGAUGCAAAUCUCGAAAGCCGGUCUCAGUUCGGAUUGGGGUCUGCAACUCGACUCUAUGAAGCUGGAAUCGCUAGUAAUCGCGCAUCAGCCAUGGCGCGGUGAAUACGUUCCCGGGUCUUGUACACACC
RNAcentral lists this ribosomal RNA (430 nucleotides) under uncultured bacterium. Its description in RNAcentral is "bacterial SSU rRNA". It matches the Rfam family "Bacterial small subunit ribosomal RNA", at positions 957 to 1391 of the family's 1533-position model. The record is from RNAcentral.